AAAUACAAUUUUUUUCUGAAGUUUUUUUUUUUGUUAUUGUUGCUUUUGUUUAUUGUUUGUAAUAGGAGGAAGCAACAAAGACAGUAACUGGACAACAAGAAAAUGAUAUUGGCAUUAUUGAACAAGCUCCACAAGAUCAAACAAAUAAGAUACCCACAUCAGAAUCAGGACAAAAAGAAGAUACAAAAUCAUCUUCAGAUUCUGAGAUUAUCUCUGUGAGUGAUACACAGAAUUAUGUGUGUUUACCUGAGGCUACAUAUCAAAAAGAAAUAAAGACAAUAAAUGGCAAAAUAGAAGAGUCUACUGAAAAGCCCUCUGACUUUGAGCCUGCCAUUGAAAUGCAAAACUCUGUUCCAAAUAAAGCUUUAGAAUGGAGGAAUAAACAAACAUUGAGAGCAGGUAAU
Molecule: long non-coding RNA, 404 nt
Organism: Piliocolobus tephrosceles (Ugandan red Colobus)
Lineage: Eukaryota; Metazoa; Chordata; Mammalia; Primates; Cercopithecidae
Exons: 5
Source: RefSeq, a predicted model, not a curated record